Molecule: long non-coding RNA, 783 nt
Organism: Thalassophryne amazonica
Lineage: Eukaryota; Metazoa; Chordata; Actinopteri; Batrachoidiformes; Batrachoididae
Exons: 4
Source: RefSeq, a predicted model, not a curated record
GUGAAAUGUAUUCACCUUACCAAACAUGGAAUUCUGUACAGAUUUUGGACAUAUACUAUGCCCCUCUGUGUAAUGAUCUCUGACUUGGGAAAAUCCUAGAUCCACCACUGGUAUCUACCUCUUCUUGUUUUAGCCUGUCUGUCACUGCUGCAACCUGUCUGCCUCCACUCCCAGUCCAGUUCCACACAGGAGUCAGAGUCCUGUAUGGGAUUCCUGCUCCCGUUUCUGAGGUAGCUGUGGACUAGUGUGUGCCAGCUCAGGACCUGUGCCUGUUCCCAUCUCCUCUGGAUCAACUACUCAGGUUCUGUGCUGGUAUCUGUGCUGACCGUCUGUGCACCUGCUCCAGACACCUCUGUGCCACCCGCCACCUCCUCAUCAGCAUCCUACACCCUCUAUUCUGCUCGAACGUCCUGGUUGACAUCCUGGUCUUUUGCCAUGUCUGAGCUCCAGACUGUACGAAGGGCUCUUUCUGUUCUGCUUGUUUUGGGAUGUCAAGGGCCAUGAUCUUCGUGAGGGUACAUUUAGAUUUCCAGCUGGCUCCACUUUCCCACUGAUUUCAGCAUGCCACUCCUAUUCCCAGCAACCACAGUUAUGCAAUCAUCAACACCGCUACAAGAUGAUGAACGCUGCCUUUUGCUGAGUGGGUGCAUAUUUAUGGACUCUGCUGUUCUGUUUCUGCUUUGUCAUGGACGUUUUCUCUCCUUUCUAUCAGCUCAUGUUCCUUCUGCGGGCAUACUGAAAUUGGUUCAUACUCUGCUCAUCUGUUUAGUCUUUGUUGGACUU